UACGAGUGCCUCAAGCGUUAUCCGGAAUCAUUGGGCGUAAAGUAUGUGUAGGUGGUUGUGUUAGUCUUGUGUUAAAUUCUUCGGCUUAACCGGGGGCAUGCACGGGAAACGGCACGACUAGAGGAUGCGAGGGGUCUGCGGAACUCAUAGUGUAGCGGUAAAAUGCGUUGAUAUUAUGGGGAACACCAAAAGCGAAGGCAGCAGACUGGAGCACUCCUGACACUGAAACAUGAAAGCGUGGGUCGCGAAUGGG
This 253-nucleotide ribosomal RNA is filed under the name uncultured bacterium. Its description in RNAcentral is "partial 16S ribosomal RNA". It matches the Rfam family "Bacterial small subunit ribosomal RNA", at positions 524 to 776 of the family's 1533-position model. The record is from RNAcentral.